Molecule: ribosomal RNA, 497 nt
Filed under: uncultured bacterium
Lineage: Bacteria
Description: partial 16S ribosomal RNA
Rfam family: Bacterial small subunit ribosomal RNA
Source: RNAcentral
GACGAACGCUGGCGGCGUGCCUAAUACAUGCAAGUUGAGCGAUGAAGAUUGGUGCUUGCACCAAUUUGAAGAGCAGCGAACGGGUGAGUAACGCGUGGGGAAUCUGCCUUUGAGCGGGGGACAACAUUUGGAAACGAAUGCUAAUACCGCAUAACAACUUUAAACAUAAGUUUUAAGUUUGAAAGAUGCAAUUGCAUCACUCAAAGAUGAUCCCGCGUUGUAUUAGCUAGUUGGUGAGGUAAAGGCUCACCAAGGCGAUGAUACAUAGCCGACCUGAGAGGGUGAUCUGCCACAUUGGGACUGAGACACGGCCCAAACUCCUACGGGAGGCAGCAGUAGGGAAUCUUCGGCAAUGGACGAAAGUCUGACCGAGCAACGCCGCGUGAGUGAAGAAGGGUUUCGGAUCGUAAAACUCUGUUGGUAGAGAAGAACGUUGGUGAGAGUGGAAAGCUCAUCAAGUGACGGUAACUACCCAGAAAGGGACGGCUAACUACGUG